RNAcentral lists this small nucleolar RNA (85 nucleotides) under Jatropha curcas. RNAcentral's name for it is "Small nucleolar RNA R16". It matches the Rfam family "Small nucleolar RNA R16". From Rfam's summary of the family: snoR16 is a member of the C/D class of snoRNA which contain the C (UGAUGA) and D (CUGA) box motifs. Most of the members of the box C/D family function in directing site-specific 2'-O-methylation of substrate RNAs. The record is from Rfam by way of RNAcentral. Lineage: Eukaryota; Viridiplantae; Streptophyta; Magnoliopsida; Malpighiales; Euphorbiaceae.
UGUGGCAAAGUGAUGAAUAAGUUCUUAUCCUACACACUGAAUUGUUGUGUUGACUUACAAACUCCGCUUAUUAUCUGAUGCCAUU